Molecule: non-coding RNA, 86 nt
Organism: Rhizodiscina lignyota
Lineage: Eukaryota; Fungi; Ascomycota; Dothideomycetes; Aulographales; Rhizodiscinaceae
Source: the annotation of a GenBank genome assembly
GGGUGUGUAGCUCAGUGGUUAGAGUAUGGGAUUGCAGUCAAUCCGCAAUUAUCCUAGUGUCGUCGGUUCGAUUCCGACUACACCCU